AGAAUCAACGCUGGCGGCGUGCCUAACACAUGCAAGUCGAACGGGAAAGUGGAGCAAUCCAUGAGUAUAGUGGCGACCGGGUGAGUAACACGUGACUAACCUACCCUUGAGUGGGGGAUAACCUCGGGAAACCGGGCUAAUACCGCAUAAAAUCUUCAGGAUGAGAAGCUGGAGAUCAAAGGAGCAAUUCGCUUUUGGAGGGGUCGCGGCUGAUUAGCUAGUUGGGGGACGUAGCCCACAAGGCUAUGAUCGGUA
This 255-nucleotide ribosomal RNA is filed under the name uncultured bacterium. RNAcentral's name for it is "partial small subunit ribosomal RNA". It matches the Rfam family "Bacterial small subunit ribosomal RNA", at positions 26 to 285 of the family's 1533-position model. The record is from RNAcentral.